RNAcentral lists this ribosomal RNA (503 nucleotides) under uncultured bacterium. RNAcentral describes it as "partial 16S ribosomal RNA". It matches the Rfam family "Bacterial small subunit ribosomal RNA", at positions 30 to 523 of the family's 1533-position model. The record is from RNAcentral.
AUUGAACGCUGGCGGCAGGCUUAACACAUGCAAGUCGAGCGGGGUGAUGGUGCUUGCACUAUCACUUAGCGGCGGACGGGUGAGUAAUGCUUAGGAAUCUGCCUAUUAGUGGGGGACAACAUCUCGAAAGGGAUGCUAAUACCGCAUACGUCCUACGGGAGAAAGCAGGGGAUCACUUGUGACCUUGCGCUAAUAGAUGAGCCUGAGUCGGAUUAGCUAGUUGGUGGGGUAAAGGCCUACCAAGGCGACGAUCUGUAGCGGGUCUGAGAGGAUGAUCCGCCACACUGGGACUGGGACACUGCCCAGACUCCUACGGGAGGCAGCAGUGGGGAAUAUUGGACAAUGGGGGGAACCCUGAUCCAGCCAUGCCGCGUGUGUGAAGAAGGCCUUAUGGUUGUAAAGCACUUUAAGCGAGGAGGAGGCUCUUUUGGUUAAUACCCAAGAUGAGUGGACGUUACUCGCAGAAUAAGCACCGGCUAACUCUGUGCCAGCCGCCGCGGUAA